Molecule: non-coding RNA, 540 nt
Organism: Hydra vulgaris (swiftwater hydra)
Lineage: Eukaryota; Metazoa; Cnidaria; Hydrozoa; Anthoathecata; Hydridae
Source: RefSeq, a predicted model, not a curated record
CGAAUGCAUUUUAAAUAAUCUUGUAAAUAAUCUUUUAUCUGCAAUCAGUGUGCCAAGCAAUAUAAGACAGACUCGAUGAUCAUUAAGUUGUAUAAAGCAUUGGAAAGGAUAAAAGUGAUAAAAUGCUAAUGGUUGGAAAUUGAUAAAUUAAUAAAAAAUGAUUGAUUCUAAUUGCGCGAAAAUAUGUUGCUCUAAAGACCCAAACCGAAAAGAAUGCCUAAAGUGGUUUUCAAAAGAUGAAUUGACGAAUUUCUUAAUUCUUUUUGUUUCGUUGUGAUAAUUUGUCGUAUGAGAACGCUAACGAGAAAAAACUUUUUAAAUAUAGAAACAUGCGUAAUAUAAAGUUUACUUAUGCCUAUAAAAAAAUAUGUUUUACAUUAAUUAAUAAAUUAACUUUUUAGUUUCUUGUUAAAAAUUGUAUUCUGUAUUGAAGUUUAUUUCUGAGAAUUUGUAAUUAUACCUAAGAUAAUCUAAUCCUACAUUGUAUUUUAAUUUAUAAAACUCGAUAUUUUAAAAUAAAUAUAUUACUUUUUUAUCGCG